This 722-nucleotide ribosomal RNA is filed under the name Bacillus altitudinis. RNAcentral describes it as "bacterial SSU rRNA". It matches the Rfam family "Bacterial small subunit ribosomal RNA", at positions 48 to 753 of the family's 1533-position model. The record is from RNAcentral. Lineage: Bacteria; Bacillati; Bacillota; Bacilli; Caryophanales; Bacillaceae.
CUAAUACAUGCAAGUCGAGCGGACAGAAGGGAGCUUGCUCCCGGAUGUUAGCGGCGGACGGGUGAGUAACACGUGGGUAACCUGCCUGUAAGACUGGGAUAACUCCGGGAAACCGGAGCUAAUACCGGAUAGUUCCUUGAACCGCAUGGUUCAAGGAUGAAAGACGGUUUCGGCUGUCACUUACAGAUGGACCCGCGGCGCAUUAGCUAGUUGGUGAGGUAACGGCUCACCAAGGCGACGAUGCGUAGCCGACCUGAGAGGGUGAUCGGCCACACUGGGACUGAGACACGGCCCAGACUCCUACGGGAGGCAGCAGUAGGGAAUCUUCCGCAAUGGACGAAAGUCUGACGGAGCAACGCCGCGUGAGUGAUGAAGGUUUUCGGAUCGUAAAGCUCUGUUGUUAGGGAAGAACAAGUGCAAGAGUAACUGCUUGCACCUUGACGGUACCUAACCAGAAAGCCACGGCUAACUACGUGCCAGCAGCCGCGGUAAUACGUAGGUGGCAAGCGUUGUCCGGAAUUAUUGGGCGUAAAGGGCUCGCAGGCGGUUUCUUAAGUCUGAUGUGAAAGCCCCCGGCUCAACCGGGGAGGGUCAUUGGAAACUGGGAAACUUGAGUGCAGAAGAGGAGAGUGGAAUUCCACGUGUAGCGGUGAAAUGCGUAGAGAUGUGGAGGAACACCAGUGGCGAAGGCGACUCUCUGGUCUGUAACUGACGCUGAGGAG